RNAcentral lists this ribosomal RNA (1408 nucleotides) under uncultured bacterium. RNAcentral describes it as "16S ribosomal RNA". It matches the Rfam family "Bacterial small subunit ribosomal RNA". The record is from RNAcentral.
AGAGUUUGAUCCUGGCUCAGGAUGAACGCUAGCGACAGGCUUAACACAUGCAAGUCGAGGGGCAGCGGAGGCGAGUGCUUGCACUUGCCAGACGGCGACCGGCGCACGGGUGAGUAACACGUAUGCGACCUGCCCGUAGCAGGGGGAUAAGCGGAAGAAAUUCCGUCUAAUACCGCGUAAUAUCUUUCGGGGGCAUCCCUGAGGGAUUAAAGGAAGCGAUUCCGGCUACGGAUGGGCAUGCGGCGCAUUAGCUAGUCGGCGGGGUAACGGCCCACCGAGGCGACGAUGCGUAGGGGUUCUGAGAGGAAGGUCCCCCACACUGGUACUGAGACACGGACCAGACUCCUACGGGAGGCAGCAGUGAGGAAUAUUGGUCAAUGGGCGAGAGCCUGAACCAGCCAAGUCGCGUGAGGGAAGGCGGUCCUAUGGAUUGUAAACCUCUUUUGUCGGGGAGCAAAAAGGCCUCGUGAGGCCACAAGCGAGAGUACCCGAAGAAAAAGCAUCGGCUAACUCCAUGCCAGCAGCCGCGGUAAUACGGAGGAUGCGAGCGUUAUCCGGAUUUAUUGGGUUUAAAGGGUGCGUAGGCGGACUGGAAAGUCAGCGGUAAAAUCGAGAGGCUCAACCUCUUUCCGCCGUUGAAACUGUCGGUCUUGAGUGGGCGAGAAGUAUGCGGAAUGCGUGGUGUAGCGGUGAAAUGCAUAGAUAUCACGCAGAACUCCGAUUGCGAAGGCAGCAUACCGGCGCCCGACUGACGCUGAGGCACGAAAGCGUGGGUAUCGAACAGGAUUAGAUACCCUGGUAGUCCACGCAGUAAACGAUGAAUACUAAUUGUCCGGUCAGAAUGAUGACUGGGUGAUACAGCGAAAGCGUUAAGUAUUCCACCUGGGGAGUACGCCGGCAACGGUGAAACUCAAAGGAAUUGACGGGGGCCCGCACAAGCGGAGGAACAUGUGGUUUAAUUCGAUGAUACGCGAGGAACCUUACCCGGGCUCAAACGUAGAAUGACAGACGGUGAAAGCCGUUCUCCCUUCGGGGCAGUCUACGAGGUGCUGCAUGGUUGUCGUCAGCUCGUGCCGUGAGGUGUCGGCUUAAGUGCCAUAACGAGCGCAACCCCCAUCUACAGUUGCUAACAGGUAAAGCUGAGGACUCUGUGGAGACUGCCGGCGCAAGCUGUGAGGAAGGCGGGGAUGACGUCAAAUCAGCACGGCCCUUACGUCCGGGGCGACACACGUGUUACAAUGGCAGGUACAGAGAGAUGCCACCUGGCGACAGGGAGCAGAACUCGAAAGCCUGUCUCAGUUCGGAUCGGAGUCUGCAACCCGACUCCGUGAAGCUGGAUUCGCUAGUAAUCGCGCAUCAGCCAUGGCGCGGUGAAUACGUUCCCGGGCCUUGCACACACCGCCCGUCA